UACGGAGGGUGCAAGCGUUAUCCGGAUUCACUGGGUUUAAAGGGUGCGUAGGUGGCGUGGUAAGUCUGGUGUGAAAUCCCGGGGCUCAACCCCGGAACUGCACUGGAUACUGCCAUGCUUGAGUACUGGAGAGGAGAUUGGAAUUUACGGUGUAGCAGUGAAAUGCGUAGAUAUCGUAAGGAAGACCAGUGGCGAAGGCGAAUCUCUGGACAGUUACUGACACUGAGGCACGAAGGCCAGGGGAGCAAACGGG
This 253-nucleotide ribosomal RNA is filed under the name uncultured bacterium. RNAcentral describes it as "partial 16S ribosomal RNA". It matches the Rfam family "Bacterial small subunit ribosomal RNA", at positions 524 to 776 of the family's 1533-position model. The record is from RNAcentral.